GGGGCUGUAGCUCAGAUGGUAGAGCGCCAGCUUUGCAAGCUGGAUGUCGCCGGUUCGAUUCCGACCAGCUCCACCA
This 76-nucleotide transfer RNA is filed under the name Anaeromyxobacter paludicola. RNAcentral describes it as "tRNA-Ala". It matches the Rfam family "tRNA". Rfam says of the family: Transfer RNA (tRNA) molecules are approximately 80 nucleotides in length. Their secondary structure includes four short double-helical elements and three loops (D, anti-codon, and T loops). The record is from RNAcentral. Lineage: Bacteria; Pseudomonadati; Myxococcota; Myxococcia; Myxococcales; Anaeromyxobacteraceae.